This 250-nucleotide ribosomal RNA is filed under the name uncultured prokaryote. RNAcentral's name for it is "partial 16S ribosomal RNA". It matches the Rfam family "Bacterial small subunit ribosomal RNA", at positions 524 to 775 of the family's 1533-position model. The record is from RNAcentral.
UACGGAGGAUGCGAGCGUUAUCCGGAUUUAUUGGGUUUAAAGGGAGCGUAGGCGGGAGCUUAAGUCAGCGGUUAAAUGGUGCGGCUCAACCGUGCCCUGCCGUUGAAACUGGGUUUCUUGAGAGUGCAAGAGGCGGAUGGAAUUCAUGGUGUAGCGGUGAAGUGCUUAGAUAUCAUGAAGAACUCCGAUUGCGAAGGCAGUCCGCUGGGGCACGUCUGACGCUGAUGCUCGAAGGUGCGGGAAUCAACAG